The submitters of this non-coding RNA (55 nucleotides) gave its source as unclassified sequences. The record is from Rfam.
UUACGUUCAUCCUAUCUUGGACGCAUGAAAUGGAAAUAGGGAACGGGAUUUCCAU